UUGACGGUGGCUGGGCCAGCAGUGACCGUUUCGCGGGCCGACUUUGCCUCCUCGUCCCUGUGCUUUCCCACCUGCUGUUCCCCGCUGGAGGGUGUCUCACCUGGGAGAGGCGCUGCCCGCCUGCUCUGUGCCGUGCCGUGCCGUGCCGUGCGCAGCCCACCGGCACCACCGUCUCCUGCGGGCGCGCUGCACACUGUGAUGACGCCUGUCAUAAUAAUCAGAUACAUCUUUUAUUGACUUCCAAGUCUGUAAAGCUUAGUAAAGGUUUCUUAUACUCUUGUAAGUGCUUGGAUUGUCUCUUUUUCCACUGUUCAAUUCUCUGAAUGCUGUACUAUUGCUGGUGCUAAAAGAAUAAACAGCACAGAGUAUGUUUCUGCAUUAUAGUCUGUAAUAUUUUAAGUAUAUAUGCAACUAUAUGAAUAUAAUAGUAUAUUAUAUAUAACUGCAUUGCAUUGAUUAUAUACAUUGCAUUGAUUUUAAAGCUUUGUUUAAACUGCCAUUUUUAACACCACUUUUCCUACCAGUUUUGCUAGGUAGCUUUAAUUCAUUUUGUAUGAAGAUGACUGUGAAACCCUACUGUUGAAUAAAAACACGCGUGGGUCACUUGGGUCCAGAAACAGACAGUGGUAAGAUGUGUUGUCUCAAGAACUCCGCAAAGUCUCAGUGCCGGCUGAUUUCCACAGCGUCAUUGUUUAAACAAACAAAAGUAAAACCACACCAAGGUUUGGCACUUCUGAAAACAAUCAUUAUUGCUGGUGCUAAACUACAUUUAAUUUGCCCACUAGAUAAUAAAGUUAUUGGAGAAAUUAAGCUGCUAGAAAUUAUACCGCAGGAAGUGGAUUUUAAACUACGGAAAGUAAGAGACUCAGCCAUGAGCGCCUCGGACACAGUUCCCGCUGCUGUACCCGUUACAAAACCCAGGACAUUUCUUUCCUUCGCUCCGCUGACAACUGAUUUGUGCUGA
Molecule: long non-coding RNA, 964 nt
Filed under: Apteryx owenii (little spotted kiwi)
Lineage: Eukaryota; Metazoa; Chordata; Aves; Apterygiformes; Apterygidae
Description: lncRNA (ENSAOWG00000015236.1)
Source: RNAcentral